Non-coding RNA from Glycine soja, 114 nucleotides. Lineage: Eukaryota; Viridiplantae; Streptophyta; Magnoliopsida; Fabales; Fabaceae. The record is from Rfam.
AAGUGAUGUGAUGUUGAUUAUCACCUAUCACCUUUUUAUUGGAUGAUGACGGUUAAUCAUGACAUGUGAUAAUCAUCAUCCAAUACAAAACGUGACACGUGACAGUCAAUAUCA